UGAGUGCAGCCAGGUGUGACCCAAAAACCAAAACAAACAAAAAAAAUGCAUCACAGGACUAAGGAGCUAGCCAAGGGUGGCCUGUUGCGCCCCAAGCCUUGAGUUCUCCAGCCCGCAGAGUUGACCAACCAUCUCAAGGUGGCUCAGGAGCCCUAAGAGGUUCCUCUAGAAAAAAAGGUCGGGCAUCACUCUAGGGGCACUGCUAAUGCCAUGAAACAUCUCUGCUGGCCCUGGAAAGGGUGCACCACCUGAGGAGCACAUGGUAUUGGUGGGGAAACUGAGGCUUGGAACAGGUGAGCCACCCACAGGAGUGUGCAGGGCCAGGUUGUGAUGGGGGCAAUCUAGCACUGCCCUUAUCAAAGCCACCCUCAUCCCCAUUGGGGCCACUAGAAUAUGCUUGCCCCUGCCUGUGCAUUGCAUCCCCUUGGGCAAAGGGGCAGCUCUGCCUUCAGGUCUUCUGCCCCAUCUUGCCUCCUGCCACUGCUCAGCCUCAGGGGCCCAGUUCCAGGAUCCCACCUUCCCUCCUUCCUGUACCUGUAGGUCGGAGACCCUGAUCUGGAGGCUAGGACCAACAUCCCCUGGAGACACAGAGUACUGGGGACAUCUGCCCCCGGUUCCCCCAUUUUCUGUCCUGGACUCCUGCAAAGACUUAGGACAAGCUCGAACCCUGCACCUCACCUGCCGCUGGUCUCAUCAUCAAGCUACAGUGUGAGAGAAAGGAAUUGGGGGCAGAGGGAUCUCAACUCUCCUGGGGGCAGAGACAUGCCUCCCUCUCCCAUUUGUAGCUGUCCUCUUUAAGAACAGACCCUUGGGGGCCGGAGAGAUAGCAUAGAGGGCAUCAGGGUCAGGCUCUGGAGUUCUAAAGUUACUGAACUGGGUGAAAGAUGGUCUGAGAGGCUGCACAGCAGGGAGGGCGCUUGCCUUGUAU
This is a long non-coding RNA of Suncus etruscus (white-toothed pygmy shrew), 928 nucleotides long. RefSeq lists it as uncharacterized. Lineage: Eukaryota; Metazoa; Chordata; Mammalia; Eulipotyphla; Soricidae. The transcript is spliced from 3 exons. The record is from RefSeq and is a predicted model, not a curated record.